This 635-nucleotide long non-coding RNA is filed under the name Rattus norvegicus (Norway rat). RNAcentral's name for it is "long non-coding RNA NONRATT018760". The record is from RNAcentral. Lineage: Eukaryota; Metazoa; Chordata; Mammalia; Rodentia; Muridae.
AGGUAGGAAAAGGGGCAUAGCUUAGGGGUGUGUCUGGAGCCCAACCUGGCAAUGGCACAUCUUGUCAGCAUGUCUGUUAAACUCAGCCCCACCUUUCUCAGAUCAGAGUUACUGCCCUCCACUAUCCCUCAGGCUUCAUACAAGGGGUUUGCUGGCUGUACAUAUGCAUACACAUACAUGGAGAAAAAAAACACUCAUACACAUAAAAUCAAUCAGUCAUCAAUUAGUUGGAGGGGCAGGCUUCAGUGCAGUGGGAAUGCAUGAGAGAAUUUGGUCAAGAUGCCAUUUGGGCACCCAGGGCAGGUUGGUGGCUCAUGGGCAGCUGGGAUAGGUGGUGACACAUGGCAGCUGGGGCAGGUGGUGGCACAUGGGCAGCUGGGGCAGGUUGGUGGCACAUGGGCAGCUGGGGCAGGUGGUGGCACAGACAACAGAAAUAAGCUGAUGGGGGGCUGGAGAGAUGGCUCAGUGGUUAAGAGCACUGACUGCUCUUCCAGAGGUCCUGAGUUCAAAUCCCAGCAACCACACGGUGGCUCACAACCAUCUGUAAUGAGAUCUGAUGCCCUCUUCUGGUGUGUCUGAAAACAACUACAAGUGUACUUAUAGAAUAAAUAAAAAUCUUUAAAAAAAAAAAAAAA